Molecule: non-coding RNA, 205 nt
Organism: Pelobates cultripes (western spadefoot toad)
Lineage: Eukaryota; Metazoa; Chordata; Amphibia; Anura; Pelobatidae
Source: the annotation of a GenBank genome assembly
GAAAGAUUAAAAUUUAGGUUUUACAAAAAGUUAUUGUAACUUUUAAUGUAAAGAUAACAAUGCAUGUGUAUCAGUGUAUGUUUGUAGUGUUGAGUGUCGUAGUGUGUAGGAGUGUAUCUAUUACAGUGUGUGUGUGUGUAUCUGCCAUGAAUUAUACUGUCCUCACUCUACCUCCAGAGUCUGUGAUUGCUGAGCUAAUUCUGAG